Long non-coding RNA from Eriocheir sinensis (Chinese mitten crab), 1844 nucleotides. RefSeq lists it as uncharacterized. NCBI's taxonomy places the organism in Eukaryota, Metazoa, Arthropoda, Malacostraca, Decapoda, Varunidae. The transcript is spliced from 3 exons. The record is from RefSeq and is a predicted model, not a curated record.
GAGAUUGUAUAAGAAAUCGGGAGGGGAAAAGAUUAAAGAGGAAAGGAAAAAAUUAUACGAGAAAGGGGAGGGAGGAAGGGAAAGGAGGGAAGGAAAGCGGAGAGAAGGAGGGAGAGGAGGAAGGCAAACGGACUAUAGGAGAGAGAAUGGGUGAUGAGGAGUGUUUGGGAGGGGAUACCGAAAGAGCUUACAGUGGCUAAGGUAUUGCUGGGUUAGGUUAAGUUAGAAAGGCAUAAUAAGACAAGGUAUCCAGAGCAGAUGAUACCGAAAGAGCUUACAGUGGCUAAGGUAUUGCUGGGUUAGGUUAUGUAAGGUUAGAAAGGCAUGAUAAGACAAGGUAUCCAGAGCAGAUGAUAUCGAAUGAGCUUAUAUUGGCUUAGGUAUUGCUGGGUUAGGUUACGUUAGGUUAGAAAGGCAUAAUAAGACAAGGUAUCCAGAGCAGAUGAUAUUGAUUGAGCUUAUAUUGGCUUAGGUAAUGGGGGGUUAGGUUAGGUUAAGUUAGGUUAGAAAGGCAUAAUAAGACAAGGUAUCCAGAGCAGAUGAUAUCGAAAGAGCUUACAGUGGCUUAGGUAUUGCUGGGUUAGGUUAAGUUAGGUUAGAAAGGCAUAAGACAAGGUAUCCAGAGCAGAUGAUAUCGAUUGAGCUUAUACUGGCUUAGGUAUUGCUGGGUUGGGUUAGGUUAAGUUAGGUUAGGUUAGAAAGGCAUAAUAAGACAAGGUAUCCAGAGCAGAUGAUAUUGAUUGAGCUUAUAUUGGCUUAGGUAAUGGGGGUUUAGGUUAGGUUGAGCUAGGUUAGGAAGGCAUGAGACAAGGUUGAUAGAGCUUAUAGUGGUUUAGAUAAUGCUGGGUUAGGUUAAGUCAUAUCAGAAAGAUUAGGAAAAGAGGGAGAGUUCGGGCUAUCCACAGGUGUUGAUGGCGUCAAUAAAGGUCAUACAUACACCUGGCUGGGGCGAGGGGGGGAGCUGCACAAGAGAAAGCUUGCUCUGACAGAGUGAUGAAGCGUCAGGCGCUUCCUGUAGGGGUAAGGCAGCGCUCUGUUGGGUCUCGUGAAACGGUAGAAUUAAUCAUCUCGCAGACAAAAAGGAAAUAAGAGGGAAAAAAUGGGUUUGUAUUAAGCACUCAGGAACAAAACAUAGAAUUCCCAAAAUGGAGCACUGGCCAGCGUGGUACAUGAGCUGUAGAGAGAGAUAAGAGAAAAAAAUUGAUAACAUUGCUUCUCUUACUUUCAAAGCAAAAUUAUACUAAGCACUCAGGACCAAAACAUAAAGUUCCCAAAAUGGAGCAGUGCUGGGCUGUGUGGUAUAUGAGCUGCACACAGAGAGAUAACAGCGUGAAAACACCCCGAUAAUAUUGCUGCUUUUUUUCAUUUCCAGAGAAAAAAAAUAUUCUCCGAGAAACCUACGUAGAUGGCAUGACCUAAUUGAGUGUGGAUACUUACAGAUUUCGAUUUAUAAAAAAGAAAGCGGAAAAAACGUUAGGAUAAUGUAGUUUCGCUUUCCUCACUUGCCAACCAAAAAUAGAUUAAAUAAAUAUAUCCCCGAGGACCCUAUGUAUGUAGAUGGAAUGGCCUGAUCACUUGUACAUCAUGACAUAUUUCGAGUUAAUAAAAAAGCCGUGAAAAACAUUGGUUAUAUUGUAGUUUACCCUUCCUCACUUGCCCCAGAGUAGGCAAAAUCCAGCAAAAUUCGAUGCACUUCAAACCAAAACUGUUACUUGCUUCAUAAAGUUAAUAUAUAGUAUUUCUUUCCUUUUGCUUGCAAGUUCUUAAUUUUUUUUCGUCUUCUACCUGAACGAGCCAAGUUUAUAGUUGCGUCACUCCCCGCUAGGUGGCAAGGCUGACUUAAA